UUUGACUCGUCUCAAUCGUUGCCCUACCACUCCAUAUUCAGGGGAUAAAUGAAAUAAGUCAUAAACGCUUUGUUACUAGCAUAUAUGAAGAUCAUUAAUGGAGUCUAACUGUAAAUCGUCCACAGAAUCCUAUUGAUUUAGAAAGGUUAUGUACGAAUAGUUAGAAUGCUAAAUGAACAAUCACUGUCAAUGCCUUCAUUAAUAUAAUGUACUACCUAUUAUUAUUAAUUAUUAUAAUGUACUUAUACAAGUGGUUUCAACUAUUUAAUAAUUG
RNAcentral lists this long non-coding RNA (274 nucleotides) under Solanum tuberosum (potato). RNAcentral describes it as "long non-coding RNA (STUB_LNC006725)". Lineage: Eukaryota; Viridiplantae; Streptophyta; Magnoliopsida; Solanales; Solanaceae. The record is from RNAcentral.